CUCGUAGGCGGUUCGUCGCGUCCGGUGUGAAAGUCCAUCGCUUAACGGUGGAUCCGCGCCGGGUACGGGCGGGCUUGAGUGCGGUAGGGGAGACUGGAAUUCCCGGUAUAACGGUGGAAUGUGUAGAUAUCGGGAAGAACACCAAUGGCGAAGGCAGGUCUCUGGGCCGCCACUGACGCUGAGGAGCGAAAGCGUGGGGAGCGAACA
Molecule: ribosomal RNA, 207 nt
Filed under: uncultured bacterium
Lineage: Bacteria
Description: partial 16S ribosomal RNA
Rfam family: Bacterial small subunit ribosomal RNA
Source: RNAcentral